Long non-coding RNA from Impatiens glandulifera, 162 nucleotides. RefSeq lists it as uncharacterized. Lineage: Eukaryota; Viridiplantae; Streptophyta; Magnoliopsida; Ericales; Balsaminaceae. The record is from RefSeq and is a predicted model, not a curated record. The transcript has 3 exons.
CCCAGACGUUUGACAUGACUCUAGACAGCCGAUGCCAAAUUAAUGGGAUUGUGCCUGGACUUAGAGUGUUUUCUGGGUUAAGGCUUCCUCUAGAGGGCAAGGUAGAAAUGAGGUACCUUCACGAGUAUGGCGGGAUAACAGCAGGCAUGAGUUUGGCAACGG